AUGCUUAAACUGGACAUUGUCAGUGCCUUUCACUCUGUUUCGUGGGGGUUCUUUAUUGAGCUGAUGCAACGACUGGGAUUCGGCCGCAAAUGGUGUGAUAUGAUCAGCCUGCUGUGGUGUUCAUCCUCUUCAAGGGUCAUGGUUAAUGACGAGCUGGGCGACAGAUUCUUCCAUCAGCGGGGCCUUAGGCAAGGAGAUCUGCUGUCUCUAAUGCUAUUCACGAUUGCAAUCGCGCCGCUACACUGGAUGUUGCUGAAGGCCAGCUCCUCCGGUCCCCUCUCGUGCUCGCGCCUUCCUCCCUCUCAACUGAGAGUGAGUCUUUAUGCAGACCACGCUGCACUGUUCGUAGCCCCAACAGCAAGAGAUAUUGAGGUCACAAGGCAAAUUCCAUGUGCUUUUGGUGAUGCUAGUGGUCUUCGGGCCAACCUGGCCAAGAGUGGAAUAUACCCAAUUGGGUGCUUGAACAUCUCUCGCCCCAUCAUCCUGCAGCAGUUUCCCAUACCUGUGUGCAAUUCCGCUGCAAAUACUUGGGCCUACCUCUGCACUUCAAGAAAAUUACAAUAG
Molecule: ribosomal RNA, 564 nt
Filed under: Triticum aestivum (bread wheat)
Lineage: Eukaryota; Viridiplantae; Streptophyta; Magnoliopsida; Poales; Poaceae
Description: partial small subunit ribosomal RNA
Source: RNAcentral